GCUCCUCACAUGCUGCUGCUGUGUUUUUUUAUUUGUAGGGCCAGCUACUGUUUGCUUCAUUUAUCCCAACCGGUGCCUUUUCUAAUGGGACGUGGCAGGCUUUUUUCAACUUGCUGCAGCACUCAUAAAAAUACAACAAAAAUUUCUUUGUGCAGCUUCAUUUUUCAUGGGCCGUGGCAGCUUCUCCAAAUGCUGGGAUCUCCAAAGCUGAUGGAGCUGAAC
Molecule: long non-coding RNA, 222 nt
Filed under: Vigna radiata
Lineage: Eukaryota; Viridiplantae; Streptophyta; Magnoliopsida; Fabales; Fabaceae
Description: long non-coding RNA (VRAD_LNC018580)
Source: RNAcentral